This 206-nucleotide long non-coding RNA is filed under the name Gossypium barbadense (sea-island cotton). RNAcentral's name for it is "long non-coding RNA (GBAR_LNC000733)". Lineage: Eukaryota; Viridiplantae; Streptophyta; Magnoliopsida; Malvales; Malvaceae. The record is from RNAcentral.
UUGGUCAAUCAUUUGGUAUUGAAGCAACACUUGUACACGUUUUGUAUGGAUGAAAGAACGUCCAUUAGGGCUCACAUUAAUGGGUUUAUUACACUUCUAAAUGACCUAAAGAACGUCGAUUUUAAUGGAACGACAAAAAUGUGCAAGUGUACACAAUCAUAUCAAGUAAUAAAGUGACAAGUAAAUGUUGAGUUAUCGUAUCCACA